Panicum virgatum (switchgrass) is the source of this 548-nucleotide long non-coding RNA. RefSeq lists it as uncharacterized. The record is from RefSeq and is a predicted model, not a curated record. The transcript has 4 exons. NCBI's taxonomy places the organism in Eukaryota, Viridiplantae, Streptophyta, Magnoliopsida, Poales, Poaceae.
CUUUCUUUCUGAUUGUUCAAUCUUGUUGUUCAAAACUAAUGUACUGUUAUAGUAAGAUGACAAAGAACCUUAAUGAUAUUCCUAAGUUUUAUGUCCACAUGGUGAUUGCAUUGAUUAAAUGAAAGUAAGGUUGAUUGUAUGAGAAUAAAAUUCAUAGUGUCCUUCUAUUCCAUUCUAAAUACAAGCCCAAUCUCAGCUCUCUAUCACCUCGGUGUUAUGAUCUUGGGCUUAGCGUUCUUCAAAGAUUUUGUUCCUCAGAGGCCACAAGUGGAGAGGGGAAGAAGCUUCCAGUUGACUGAGGAAGAUUUGUUUCGUGCUUCCCGAGCUGUGCUUCAUGCGACACGCACGUGUAUAAAAAAUAUUUAUAAUAUAAAAAUUAUAAUCAGUUUUGAUAAGACCCAUUUUGUAUUGCGUGCUACAGCCCUUGACAAAGCAGCAUACAGUUGUCCAGGGCAUCUCUCUGACAUUUCCUCGUCUGGUGUGAUUAUGGGAUGAUAAAAGCCCAUAACAGGCGACCACUUCUGAGCAAGUUGCUGACAUGUACCGUG